CCUACGGGAGGCAGCAGUGAGGAAUAUUGGUCAAUGGUCGGGAGACUGAACCAGCCAAGCCGCGUGAGGGAUGAAGGUACAGAGUAUCGUAAACCUCUUUUGUCAGGGAACAAAGGCGGGGACGUGUCCCCGGAUGAGUGUACCUGAAGAAAAAGCAUCGGCUAACUCCGUGCCAGCAGCCGCGGUAAUACGGAGGAUGCGAGCGUUAUCCGGAUUUAUUGGGUUUAACGGGUGCGCAGGCGGUCUGUUAAGUCAGCGGUCAAAGCCCGGGGCUCAACCCCGGCCCGCCGUUGAAACUGGCAGUCGCGAGUUGGAGAGAGGUAUGCGGAAUGCGCGGUGUAGCGGUGAAAUGCAUAGAUAUCGCGCAGAACUCCGAUUGCGAAGGCAGCAUGCCGGCUCCACACUGACGCUGAGGCACGAAAGCGUGGGUAUCGAACAGGAUUAGAUACCCUGGUAGUC
RNAcentral lists this ribosomal RNA (459 nucleotides) under uncultured bacterium. Its description in RNAcentral is "partial 16S ribosomal RNA". It matches the Rfam family "Bacterial small subunit ribosomal RNA", at positions 338 to 795 of the family's 1533-position model. The record is from RNAcentral.